This 464-nucleotide ribosomal RNA is filed under the name Vreelandella stevensii. Its description in RNAcentral is "partial 16S ribosomal RNA". It matches the Rfam family "Bacterial small subunit ribosomal RNA", at positions 339 to 795 of the family's 1533-position model. The record is from RNAcentral. Lineage: Bacteria; Pseudomonadati; Pseudomonadota; Gammaproteobacteria; Oceanospirillales; Halomonadaceae.
CUACGGGAGGCAGCAGUGGGGAAUAUUGGACAAUGGGGGCAACCCUGAUCCAGCCAUGCCGCGUGUGUGAAGAAGGCCCUCGGGUUGUAAAGCACUUUCAGUGAGGAAGAACGCCUGGUGGUUAAUACCCAUCAGGAAAGACAUCACUCACAGAAGAAGCACCGGCUAACUCCGUGCCAGCAGCCGCGGUAAUACGGAGGGUGCGAGCGUUAAUCGGAAUUACUGGGCGUAAAGCGCGCGUAGGUGGCUUGAUAAGCCGGUUGUGAAAGCCCCGGGCUCAACCUGGGAACGGCAUCCGGAACUGUCAAGCUAGAGUGCAGGAGAGGAAGGUAGAAUUCCCGGUGUAGCGGUGAAAUGCGUAGAGAUCGGGAGGAAUACCAGUGGCGAAGGCGGCCUUCUGGACUGACACUGACACUGAGGUGCGAAAGCGUGGGUAGCAAACAGGAUUAGAUACCCCGGUAGUC